This 462-nucleotide ribosomal RNA is filed under the name uncultured bacterium. Its description in RNAcentral is "partial 16S ribosomal RNA". It matches the Rfam family "Bacterial small subunit ribosomal RNA", at positions 28 to 507 of the family's 1533-position model. The record is from RNAcentral.
GAUGAACGCUGACAGAAUGCUUAACACAUGCAAGUCGUUGGCGAAGCCGCGCAUGCGCAGCCUAGCCCAGGCGGACGGGUGAGUAACGUGUAAGGAACUUGCCCUGCAGAUAGGGAUAACAGACGGAAACGAAUGAGAACACCAGGUAGUGUCAUGCUGGCGAAUGCCGGCCUGAUGAAAGAAGACGGUGUAGGAGGGCAUUGCGUCCUAUAAGCUAGUCGGUGUGGUAACGGCCCACCAAGGCGAUGAUACGUAGCCGGCCUGAGAGGAGGAACGGCCACGAGGAAUAUGAGAUACGGCCCUCACGCCUCAGCGAGGCAGCAGUGGGGACUAUUGGACCAUAGUGGCAACCCUGAUCCAGGCAUUCUGUGUGCAAGAAGCAGGUUUUCGGAUAGUAAAGAUCUGUCAGUAAGGAAGCACAACGUGACGGUACCUGAAGAAGAAGCUACGGCUAAAUACGUG